Molecule: ribosomal RNA, 465 nt
Filed under: uncultured bacterium
Lineage: Bacteria
Description: bacterial SSU rRNA
Rfam family: Bacterial small subunit ribosomal RNA
Source: RNAcentral
GGCCAGACUCCUACGGGAGGCAGCAGUGAGGAAUAUUGGUCAAUGGUCGGGAGACUGAACCAGCCAAGCCGCGUGAGGGAGGAAGGUACAGAGUAUCGUAAACCUCUUUUGUCAGGGAACAAAGGCGGGGACGCGUCCCCGGAUGAGUGUACCUGAAGAAAAAGCAUCGGCUAACUCCGUGCCAGCAGCCGCGGUAAUACGGAGGAUGCGAGCGUUAUCCGGAUUUAUUGGGUUUAAAGGGUGCGCAGGCGGAAGAGCAAGUCAGGGGUAAAAUUGGGGGGCUCAACCUCUUCGAGCCGUUGAAACUGGGUGCCUUGAGUGGGCGAGAAGUACGCGGAAUGCGUGGUGUAGCGGUGAAAUGCAUAGAUAUCACGCAGAACUCCGAUUGCGAAGGCAGCGUACCGGCGCCCAACUGACGCUGAAGCACGAAGGCGUGGGUAUCGAACAGGAUUAGAUACCCGAGUA